GGGGAAGCUAAAGAACAUUUACGGCAGGAACUAUUCUGUGCCAAAAGAAAUGUUGGGCGAAGCUGAACAAGUUUUACGGUAGAAACUAUUCUCCUUGCCAAAAGAAACGUUGGGGGAAGCCCAACAACGUUUACAAUAAAAACAAUCUUCUGUACGAAAAGAAAAAUUGGGGGAAGCUAAAGAAUGUUUACAGAUGGAACAAAUCUCUUGCGUGUUGAAGUCUCUGGGUAUUAUUAGGGCUAAUAUUGAAGUUAACCCUAAAGAGGAAUGUCAAGCCAGUAUCUCUGAAAAUGAUAAGGUUGUUGAGGAGGAGAAUAUAGAGGAAGAAGAGAUAGAGAUAUAUGAGGAGAAGGUGGAGAGAGAAGUGAAAAAGAUAGAAGAGAUGGAAAUAGAGAAGGUUGCUGCUGAGGAGAAGAUAGAUGAAAAGAUAGUGAUAGAAUAGGAGAAAAUAGAGGAAGAAGAAGCAGAAAGGUUGAGUGAGGGAGAUAAAGAUGAGGAGAAAGAAAAAGCAGUGGUUGAGAAAAAAAAGAAAAAAUAAGAAAAUAAGAAAAAAGAAAAAAAGAAAGUGGAGGAAGGAGAAGAUUGAGAAAAAGAGGAAGAGAGGAAAGAAGAAAAGAUCACAUGAAAGACCCCUUCCUCAUUCAAAAAAAUAUCAUAGGAAGGAAAAUAAAUUGAAGUGCUUUAUGAAGAUCUUCAAGAAAUUGGAGAUUAAGUUCCUAUGGUUGAAACAUGGAAAAUCCAUUCUCUAUCACUUUUGCAUCAUUCCAUAAUCCAAGUGUGGGGUUUUUUAGAGAGUACUGCAUUUUGGUUUCAUCCAUCAUCAGUUAUAAGAAUUUUGCAUACAUUCAAGGUCUCUCCA
This 859-nucleotide long non-coding RNA is filed under the name Vigna radiata. RNAcentral's name for it is "long non-coding RNA (VRAD_LNC001189)". Lineage: Eukaryota; Viridiplantae; Streptophyta; Magnoliopsida; Fabales; Fabaceae. The record is from RNAcentral.